GGGAAAGCCUUCAGGCAUGACACCCGCCGAUGAGGAUGCCUGAUGGCUCUUCACGGUGGCCAGCCGUGAGAGUACAUCGACCUAUUGUGUGUCGGAACCUGAGAUCUUUGAUACCAUAUAUUAUUGCGGAGUGUCGGAACCUGAGAUCUUUGGUACCAGAUAUUAUUGCGGAUGUUAUGGCAGCGACUAAGGUUGAGGUGACGCAAGGGGGGCGGCCGGAGAUCUUGUCCACAACCGAGCAAGAGGAAAGGAUUUUCUUACUUAAUGCUUGCUUUAUUAGAUUGAUACAUCUUCUCUCCUUAUAGAGAGACUUACUUGACCCCUAAAGAAAUGUCUUAACGAAAUCAAUUUAACUUAUCUCUUCCCUUAUCCUAACUAACCGAAUAUUUUAUAUCCUAACUAACUAAAUCAAUUUAACUUAUUUUUUCCUUAUUCUAUCGGCUCCACUUGCCAUAACAUAUUGCCAUCUAGAAAUGAACGGUUUGUUGUUAAUAAUGAUGUACAUGUACUAUGAGUUGAUUUAGAUAUAUGAAAAAUCAGUUUUCAAAUAUUAGUUUGUGUAUCAGUUUUCAUGAUUGUUUGAAUUAUGAUAUUAAAUUUGGGAAUCUCUCAUAGAUAAUGUUUUUGUUAGGGAAGUCAUCCUGAUUUUGUCUGUGGUAGAUGGCUACUGCUGUUUUCACUUUUCUAAAAUAGAUGCACAUCUGAUUUUCUUGCAUUAAAAUAAAGGUAAUGUCUUUUGAAUGCUUGCAAGCUGUGUCAGAUGUGAAUUGCAAAUAACAUCCGAAUUUUUGUGUAAAAAGAAAUCCAUGUGAAGAGAAAACGGGCACCCAAACAUGGUAGCUGCAAUGUUACUAAUGAUGUAAUAUGAGUUAAUUAUGAAAUGUAAUAUUCUGAAGUCUACGUCUUUAUUAUCGUUUGAACUAAAAAAAUGGUAGAUCCAGUGCCGUAGGCUACCACAUGAGAGCUUGUACCAUAUAAGAGCUUGUUCGGUUAGGAGUGGAUUGAAGGAGAUUGGAGGGGAUUAAAUCCAUUCCUAGUCAAAAUUGAAUAAGAGGGGAUUUAAUCCCCUCAAUCCACUCCGAUCCUCAUGCAACCAAACAAGACCUGAGUGGGGUCUGAGAAAUGAAUAAACCGAGACAAUCCCACAUGAGUGGGGUCUAGGGAAGGGAUAAAUCGAGAUAGGCCUUCUUAGAUGCGGAGAGACAGCUCUCACCGCUACACCAUGCUUUUCCUUACUUUAUUAUUGUUUAAACUAUGGUAUUAAAUUCAUGGAGUAUGUCACAUGUAUAAUCGUUUAUCAGGGACCUCACUCUGACUUUGCUGGGCCAACAUGUGGGAGUACAGCGUGUGUAGCAUUAAUAAGAAACACCCAACUUGUUGUGGCAAAUGCUGGUGAUUCCCGAUG
Molecule: long non-coding RNA, 1405 nt
Filed under: Zea mays
Lineage: Eukaryota; Viridiplantae; Streptophyta; Magnoliopsida; Poales; Poaceae
Description: long non-coding RNA (ZMAY_LNC003140)
Source: RNAcentral